GGAGUUGUAGCUCAGUGGUUGAGCACUUACCUUGCAUGUGUGAGGCACUGUGUUCAAUCCUCAGCACCA
RNAcentral lists this transfer RNA (69 nucleotides) under Ictidomys tridecemlineatus (thirteen-lined ground squirrel). RNAcentral describes it as "Spermophilus tridecemlineatus (thirteen-lined ground squirrel) tRNA". It matches the Rfam family "tRNA". Rfam says of the family: Transfer RNA (tRNA) molecules are approximately 80 nucleotides in length. Their secondary structure includes four short double-helical elements and three loops (D, anti-codon, and T loops). Lineage: Eukaryota; Metazoa; Chordata; Mammalia; Rodentia; Sciuridae. The record is from Rfam by way of RNAcentral.